GAUACAUACUGAUGUAACCUUUUCAACUGCAUCAACAUUUUUGACCUUAAUCUCACCGCUCUGGGAAUUAAGUAAACUAAGCAUGCUAAGUGUAUGGUUAUGAUGAGCAACGGUGCCUCUUUCAAAAUUGUGAAUUUCAUGGCUUCUGGUUUAAAACACGAACCAUAUUCAUUGUUGGAAAGUUGUUACAUGAUACACGGGUGACCAAUAAGACCAAUGGGCCUCUUGUUUUAAUAGGUAUGAGAAGUAAAACUUACAAAUGCAUUUUUUUUUUUUACAAUUAUUUGUUUUAAUUUUUUUUUAUUUUAAUACCUUCAGGUUGCAGAUCCUCUCUUGAAUCGUAUCUUUCCAUCAGAAAUGAUACUGCAUCAAUAUGUAUGCACCUUGGAUAGCGUUGUAAAAAAGCUAAGAAAUGUAGAUAAUUUGAGAAUUUUAACACACAUAAUGUUUUGCGUAUGAAAAAAAAUAGGAACAUUGUUUUGCAUAUAAAAAAAAUAGAGUGUUUCAAGGAAUGCAUGUGUCACCUGCUUUGUAGCUUCAAAGAUGUAAAUAAAUCUAAGUGUAGUUAGCUGUUUAUUUACAACCAGCAUGAUAGGUUAUGCAGAAAAAAGCAACCACACGCAGUAUAAGACUGCGAUAGAAUCUGACAAAGAAUAUAGAAUUAUUGCUGGUUUUUGAGGUCAAUACGAUGAUAUAGACACCUGAGGAGUACAAUAUUUACUGAGCCCGAAUGAAUCUUAUGUCAACUUCCUGUUACUCUGUGCAUCUGUCCCUGCAAAAUUUCUGUCUCAGUUUUGUCAACAACUACUUAAUGCAAAUGCAUGAAAUUUUAGUAUAGUCUUUGUUUAGGCAUGCCAUAUGGUGGGAUUCAUUUCUGUAGAAAUCUGAUGUUAACUUCUUGUUUAUCCGUGUGUCAGUCUGUACUGAAUUUCAGUCAGUUUUGUGGGUAACUACCAAUCUGGACUAGAUUUUUUUUUUUUUUCAGUAGUCACUUGGGUUAUGGGCUUAAUUUUUUAUUGGUCAGCUCAGCACCUUUACUGUCCCACUAGGCAAGUAGAUUUUAAAAUGACUGGCCCAAAACCAUAUUAAUAAUAGUAAUAUUUUGUUCAUAUUUUGAUACUGGUAGUAUUGCUUGCAGAACAAGAAACAACGGAACUUGGACAGUCAACCACUUUAAAGGUGCGCAUGAUGCAACUUCCUGGAUGGUGUGUAGGCUGUUUGUCAACAUGUGAAACCCACGUGUAUUUCGGGGAGUAGUCUCCCCUUUUAAAGAUUAAAAAUGGGGGAUAAACAAUACGGCAUGCAGUCUGGUCAUCAGCAGAGAGUUUCGACACCCGUAUACCUCUGUAACCUUUGUUGUACAUCAGACA
Molecule: long non-coding RNA, 1370 nt
Organism: Saccostrea echinata
Lineage: Eukaryota; Metazoa; Mollusca; Bivalvia; Ostreida; Ostreidae
Exons: 3
Source: RefSeq, a predicted model, not a curated record